Non-coding RNA from Elaeis guineensis (African oil palm), 3609 nucleotides. Lineage: Eukaryota; Viridiplantae; Streptophyta; Magnoliopsida; Arecales; Arecaceae. The record is from RefSeq and is a predicted model, not a curated record.
CUUAUUUCUCCUUCCCAUCUCUCUCCUUUCCCUCUCUCUUCUUCCUUCCCCCUCUCUCUCUCCACAAAUCCCAGCUUCGUUUUCUUCCUUGAAAAAUAAAAAGAGUAACAGAGAAGGGGAGGAACAUUCUAUUCGCCAUCAUAGACUACGGCUUCGUCGCACAUGAAAAGAAUGUCAUCGACGGUUAGAAUGUCGCCGGCUUCUAAAUCCAGCCAUAAAAAGUCAUGUGGGGUUUGGGAAAGAGAGGAGGACAUACCUUAGAUCUGGUGAAGGUGGCUCGUCGGAAAAGCUCACGGAACGCCCUUUAAUCUCACGUUUUCACCGACGAUUGGUUGGAGGAUUUGAGAGAGAUGACCGGAGGCUUUAUAGCCUCGAGUGAAGUUCGAUUGGGAUUGAAAUCCCUCUCUUGAUUGAACAUAGGGCCUCUCCUGAUCGAACACGGAGGAGGAGACGAACUCCAUCAGAAGUUCGCCUCUUCCGUACGUGAUUUUUUUUUCCUCAUAUGUUAGAACAGGUGGUUUCUUCUCUUUUUCCUAAUACCCCACGCGUCACAUGGAGGUUUUUUCGUUGAAAGGCUUUCGUUUUAUAUUUUAUAUAUUAAAUAAGAAAAAGUAGGGAAGAGAAUUUUCGUUGCUGCUUUCCAAUAUCAAGCUCCUUCUGUCUCUCUCUUCUUUCCCUCUUUACUUCUUUCUGGAUGGAUGAACGAAGAGAGAGGAGGAAGUGGGAAUUUGGAGGAGCUCCGAAAACCCUACCCUUGAGCUUCCAUUUGACCUCUUCCGUCUUGCAGUUGGAGGUGAGAGCAACAAAUUUAGCCGUUGUUUUCUCAAAAAUCGCUACUUCUCUGUUUGUUUGGCUCCAAAUCUUGAAGUGCUCUAGAUUUUUUUGGGAUGAUUUCCUUUUCGGAGGGGUUUUUCUUGCUCUUUAGGGGUGGAUUGGAAGUAUCAGAAUUGUGUUCCAACUCAAGACCAGGAUUUCGGGAAUAUCAGAUUUCUUGAUUUAUUGAUUUCUUAAUUUGAUUUGCUGAAUGAAAUUAAAUUACGGAUGCUUGCUAAAAUAAAAUAAGCUGGAACAUAAAGGUGAUUUUGAUUAAGAUACCUGUUCAUCCCUUACUUGAACAUGGCAAAAUAUUAGCAUCUGCAUGGCUUUUUGUUUGCGUGGUCAUCAUUGAUAGUUUUUUUAUUUUCCGUCCAGUCUUUUUUUUGUAUCCCUUCGAAGCCUUCCUGAGCCCUCCAGACUAUUUUGUGCUUCGAACCUUCUCAAGCCCUCGUGGACGCCCAUCUCCUCCCUGCUCUCCUUGCUGCCACCUCCUGCCGGUCUCCACUGUCCCUUUCUUCCCCAUUGUCAUCAGCGUCGGCCCUCCCCUCCGAUCUCCCUUAGGUGCUUUCCUUCCCAUAGAUCUAUGAAAAAAAGAAAGAAAUGAAGAGAAAAAGAAGAGAAAGGAAACAAAAAAUGAUCAAUCUAUAUGGGAAAAGGUUUUGCCUUUAAAUUUUUCCACCUUUAAUGUAUUUGUAUAGAUUCUCAAUUGGUGGCCCUUCAAUCUGCUCAACUCGAGGUGAAGCGAUCACUGGUGCCAGACCACUUUAGAGUUUGCGCUUCUCUUGGACCCCGAUGGAUCAUCCUCCUAAAGCGGCGGUGGCAGCUGCUCCCACGACCACCAAUGACAACAGUUCAAGUUCAAGUUUAGGUUCGGCAGCCCCUAAGGUGCAGGCCCUGCAUCUCUCCUGCACCAAAUGUUUCGACGCUCUCUGGUUCUGCUACUGUAUGCAUUCAAUCUCUCUAUCUAUCUAUCUAUCUCUCAGUUUCUGCUACAAAAUGCUUGUUUUAGCAUGGCAUAGUCCUAUAUAUUCCGGCCUGAAAAUGGCUUACAAUUUAAUGAGAAAUGCUCAAACUAUAUACACCAAAUUUUGGUUGGCUGAUUUUAACUUGAGCUUAGCUCAAACAUAAAAUGAUUUGCUAAGCUUUGUAGCGAGAGAAAAUGAGAUAAUACAUUAAUUGUUUUUUUAUAUUUCUUGGAUUAGAGGUUGGGUUCAGUUAAACUUUUCCUUAUGUAAUUCUUGAUGAACAUCUCUAAUGCAGAGACAUGCAUACAUGCACAUUCAUAGGUCAUAAUCAGGAAGGCUUAAUGUGUUGACAUAAUAUUUGGUUUAAAGUUUCACCUAAAUUUAAGUUGUGCCAAAUUUCUUAAGCCCAAGCUCAAGCAAACACAAUGCCUUCUGAGGACACAGGCUGGGUUGAGCAUAUCAUGGGAUGACCCAGCCUAAUGUGCAGCCAUAUUGUUCAGUGGCACAAGGUGCAGAUUUCCAAAACAAUGCCUUCAAUUUCUGAAUUUUAUUUGUGAUUUGUAGUUGCACAAGGUUAGUAAUUUAAGCGUGAUUAUUAAUUGGAGAAAAGAGAGGAACCGCCUCAUUGACUGCAUCAAAUCAUGAAAAUAAGGAAACUUCUUUGAUUGAACACCUCAUAUUGAUCUUUGAAGAGCAUGAAAUAAGGAAACUUCACUACUUUGAUUGAACACCUCAUGUUAGUCUUUAAAGAAAGUUAUAUAUAAUUUAUUUAAAUGGAGAUGGACAAUAAAGAAAUAAAUGUGGUACAGAGUGAUGUAAUACCUUGUUCAUGUUUAUGCUGACCCUGAACAGUUUGCACAAGACUUGAGGAUGUGAUGACUACACUGUUGAUACAAUUUUCAUAUAAUGCUGUGUUUUUCACAUGCGUCAAAUAAUUUUUCAUUCUGUAGCCAGGAAUUUCAUGCCAAGUUCUCAUUUUAUGAUGCGAUGCAAAUAUUUCUGGGAUUACUCUUGUUGUCUCAUUAUGUACAAUUCAAUUUCUCUAUAGUUGUAUCAUCUGACUGAUGCUUGUGCGCAUAUGGCAGCUCCAUUUCACCAGAUGCAGCAAUACUAUAGAUAUGGAGAUCUAAGCUCUACUUUAGCAAUUCUUCGAUCUUCUAAUCUUUUCUUAAGAUAUUCAAGUUGAACAGGUUGAAGGAAAUCUUUCUGCUCCUUGAUCAGAACAAGUUGGUGUUGGAGUGUUAGUCUUCUAUAUCUGUGGGGGGCUUUAGCAUAUGAUCCAAAUGCAUGAGCAAUAUAGGCAACCAGAAAAAAGAUUAUUUAUGGUUCAAGUACAUCAAAGAACAAAAACGAGUAUGGUUGCUAGUUUUUCUUCAAUGUAUGAUAAGAUUAAGGGACGUUUCACAUAACUAGAAUAGAAAAUUAUCCAACUCACCGAGAUUGUCUUCAGACUGCCAAUACCUUAGACACUCAGUGGAGUGUUGAUAUAGAAAAUUUAAAUAACUGGCUAGAUUAAUUAGAGACCUAUUUCUAGUAUUCAGAAGGUAGCUUUUGCUUGUCUUAAUUUCUAGCCAUGCUUUUGCAUGGUGGGGACAUGUGAUAUGGAGACUAAAAAGUAAUUUUAUCCAAUCGGCCGUGAGGAAGGGUGGUUUUAGUGGUAGUACCUAUGGCAGAGCAUGAUCAACAUGUCCAAAUUUACACUAUUGAGUUUUACAAGCAAGUAAUCUUUUUUGGAAUCUCCAUCAAUGAUCACAUGGUUUUCAUGCUUACACUACUGAGUGAAGAACAUUGGUUGCAGGAUUGGCAGCCUCAGCCUCUAUUUACCUCC